AUGGGUUGGAGUUGUAUCAUGUUCUUUCUGGUAGCAACAGCUACAGGUGUGUACUCCCAGGUCCAGCUGCAGCAGUCUGGGGCUGAGCUGGUGAGGUCUGGGUUCUCAGUGAAGAUUUCCUGCAAGGCUUCUGGCUACACAUUUACUGAUUAUGUUAUGCACUGGGUGAAGCAGAGUCAUGCAAAGAGUCUAGAGUGGAUUGGAGUUAUUAAUACUUACAAUGGUGAUACUAGCUACAACCAGAAGUUCAAGGGCAAGGCCACAAUGACUGUAGACAAAUCCUCCAGCACAGCCUAUAUGGAACUUGCCAGAUUGAGUACAAGUAGCCUAGAUCUUGAAGUCAGCAGAGAAAAAUAG
This is a non-coding RNA of Mus caroli (Ryukyu mouse), 357 nucleotides long. The record is from the annotation of a RefSeq genome assembly. NCBI's taxonomy places the organism in Eukaryota, Metazoa, Chordata, Mammalia, Rodentia, Muridae.